AGUGAACGCUGGCGGUAGGCCUAACACAUGCAAGUCGAACGGCAGCACAGUAAGAGCUUGCUCUUACGGGUGGCGAGUGGCGGACGGGUGAGGAAUACAUCGGAAUCUACUUUUUCGUGGGGGAUAACGUAGGGAAACUUACGCUAAUACCGCAUACGACCUACGGGUGAAAGCAGGGGAUCUUCGGACCUUGCGCGAUUGAAUGAGCCGAUGUCGGAUUAGCUAGUUGGCGGGGUAAAGGCCCACCAAGGCGAGGAUCCGUAGCUGGACUGAGAGGAUGGUAAGCCACACUGGAACUGAGACACGGUCCAGACUCCUACGGGAGGCAGCAGUGGGGAAUAGUGGACAAUGGGCGCAAGCCUGAUCCAGCCAUACCGCGUGGGUGAAGGAGGCGUUCGGGUUGUAAAGCCCUUUUGUUGGGAAAGAAAAGCAGCAGGUUAAUACGCCGCUGUUCUGACGGUACCCAAAGAAUAAGCACCGGCUAACUUCGUG
Molecule: ribosomal RNA, 492 nt
Filed under: uncultured bacterium
Lineage: Bacteria
Description: partial 16S ribosomal RNA
Rfam family: Bacterial small subunit ribosomal RNA
Source: RNAcentral